This 306-nucleotide ribosomal RNA is filed under the name Meyerozyma guilliermondii. RNAcentral describes it as "eukaryotic LSU rRNA". It matches the Rfam family "Eukaryotic large subunit ribosomal RNA", at positions 115 to 418 of the family's 3401-position model. The record is from RNAcentral. Lineage: Eukaryota; Fungi; Ascomycota; Pichiomycetes; Serinales; Debaryomycetaceae.
UUGAAAUCUGGCGCCUUCGGUGUCCGAGUUGUAAUUUGAAGAUUGUAACCUUGGGGUUGGCUCUUGUCUAUGUUUCUUGGAACAGGACGUCACAGAGGGUGAGAAUCCCGUGCGAUGAGAUGCCCAAUUCUAUGUAAGGUGCUUUCGAAGAGUCGAGUUGUUUGGGAAUGCAGCUCUAAGUGGGUGGUAAAUUCCAUCUAAAGCUAAAUAUUGGCGAGAGACCGAUAGCGAACAAGUACAGUGAUGGAAAGAUGAAAAGAACUUUGAAAAGAGAGUGAAAAAGUACGUGAAAUUGUUGAAAGGGAA